RNAcentral lists this long non-coding RNA (245 nucleotides) under Manihot esculenta (cassava). RNAcentral describes it as "long non-coding RNA (MESC_LNC005961)". Lineage: Eukaryota; Viridiplantae; Streptophyta; Magnoliopsida; Malpighiales; Euphorbiaceae. The record is from RNAcentral.
AUUUAAUAAUAUUCAUUGAUAGAGAAGAAAAUGCUUAAAUAAUUGAUGUUUGUGUGUGAUACAAUCCUAGAAUAUUCUGGUAUAUUUGGUUGACUAGCUAUUUUCUAUUUGUGACAAAUUUUGAUAGAUGGAGAUUUGUUUGACAUCAAACAUCAAGACUAAUACAGUUUCCUCACUAUAUACUCAUCAUUUUGGUCAAUUUUCUAUUGGAUUUGAAGUGUUUUUAGACAUUUAGUUAAUUAAUA